AGUCGAGGGGCAGCAUUUCAGUUUGCUUGCAAACUGGAGAUGGCGACCGGCGCACGGGUGAGUAACACGUAUCCAACCUGCCGAUAACUCGGGGAUAGCCUUUCGAAAGAAAGAUUAAUACCCGAUGGCAUAAUAAAACCGCAUGGUUUUUUUAUUAAAGAAUUUCGGUUAUCGAUGGGGAUGCGUUCCAUUAGGCAGUUGGUGAGGUAACGGCUCACCAAACCUUCGAUGGAUAGGGGUUCUGAGAGGAAGGUCCCCCACAUUGGAACUGAGACACGGUCCAAACUCCUACGGGAGGCAGCAGUGAGGAAUAUUGGUCAAUGGGCGCAGGCCUGAACCAGCCAAGUAGCGUGAAGGAUGACUGCCCUAUGGGUUGUAAACUUCUUUUAUAUGGGAAUAAAGUUUUCCACGUGUGGAAUUUUGUAUGUACCAUAUGAAUAAGGAUCGGCUAACUCCGUGCCAGCAGCCGCGGUAAUACGGAGGAUCCGAGCGUUAUCCGGAUUUAUUGGGUUUAAAGGGAGCGUAGGUGGACAGUUAAGUCAGUUGUGAAAGUUUGCGGCUCAACCGUAAAAUUGCAGUUGAUACUGGCUGUCUUGAGUACAGUAGAGGUGGGCGGAAUUCGUGGUGUAGCGGUGAAAUGCUUAGAUAUCACGAAGAACUCCGAUUGCGAAGGCAGCUCACUGGACUGCAACUGACACUGAUGCUCGAAAGUGUGGGUAUCAAACAGGAUUAGAUACCCUGGUAGUCCACACAGUAAACGAUGAAUACUCGCUGUUUGCGAUAUACAGUAAGCGGCCAAGCGAAAGCAUUAAGUAUUCCACCUGGGGAGUACGCCGGCAACGGUGAAACUCAAAGGAAUUGACGGGGGCCCGCACAAGCGGAGGAACAUGUGGUUUAAUUCGAUGAUACGCGAGGAACCUUACCCGGGCUUAAAUUGCAUUUGAAUAUAUUGGAAACAGUAUAGCCGUAAGGCAAAUGUGAAGGUGCUGCAUGGUUGUCGUCAGCUCGUGCCGUGAGGUGUCGGCUUAAGUGCCAUAACGAGCGCAACCCUUAUCUUUAGUUACUAACAGGUCAUGCUGAGGACUCUAGAGAGACUGCCGUCGUAAGAUGUGAGGAAGGUGGGGAUGACGUCAAAUCAGCACGGCCCUUACGUCCGGGGCUACACACGUGUUACAAUGGGGGGUACAGAAGGCAGCUACCUGGUGACAGGAUGCUAAUCCCAAAAGCCUCUCUCAGUUCGGAUCGAAGUCUGCAACCCGACUUCGUGAAGCUGGAUUCGCUAGUAAUCGCGCAUCAGCCAUGGCGCGGUGAAUACGUUCCCGGGCCUUGUACACACCGCCCGUCAAGCCAUGAAAGCCGGGGGUACCUGAAGUACGUAACCGCAAGGAGC
This 1390-nucleotide ribosomal RNA is filed under the name uncultured bacterium. RNAcentral's name for it is "bacterial SSU rRNA". It matches the Rfam family "Bacterial small subunit ribosomal RNA". The record is from RNAcentral.